GGUGUAGCUCAGAUGGUAGAGCGUUCGCUUAGCGUGCGAAAAGUCCGGGGAUCGAUACCCCGCGCC
This is a transfer RNA of Operophtera brumata (winter moth), 66 nucleotides long. It matches the Rfam family "tRNA". Rfam says of the family: Transfer RNA (tRNA) molecules are approximately 80 nucleotides in length. Their secondary structure includes four short double-helical elements and three loops (D, anti-codon, and T loops). The record is from Rfam. NCBI's taxonomy places the organism in Eukaryota, Metazoa, Arthropoda, Insecta, Lepidoptera, Geometridae.